Non-coding RNA from Prunus avium (sweet cherry), 437 nucleotides. NCBI's taxonomy places the organism in Eukaryota, Viridiplantae, Streptophyta, Magnoliopsida, Rosales, Rosaceae. The record is from RefSeq and is a predicted model, not a curated record.
UUGAGGGGCUUUGAUUUUUUAUGUCAUUCCGCCUCUGCCUCUCUCAGUGAGUCUCUCUCACUCUCAACCUCCUCUCCCCAAAUCCGCUGCCAACUUCUUCCAGAUUUCUCUAUCGCUCUCUCAGAGCUGCUCUCUCGCUCUCUCCCAAAUUUGCAAAACCUGGUUGUAUGACAUUCUGACCAGUUUGAAAAAGAUGAGCUUAAACGGAACUCUGCAAUAGAAAAUUGGUCAGUUUUCCGUGUUGCUGAUGAUGACAAGCGUUCACAAAGUAAUUGCUGGAGUCUUUCCCCCCAGGCAAUUUAAUUUCACCGUGUCCUGUGAUUUAGGAUACAAGGGAACUUUAAAAUUUUCAUUUAUAGAUGCUGGACUGGAAUUGCUCUUUUUAUAGGUGGAUUUUAAAUUAAUCUUUUUGGUCAAAUAUGAUGUAGGUUCUCUUU